Molecule: long non-coding RNA, 1617 nt
Organism: Astatotilapia calliptera (eastern happy)
Lineage: Eukaryota; Metazoa; Chordata; Actinopteri; Cichliformes; Cichlidae
Source: Ensembl
GUAGAGUACAUUUAACUUUAUUGAGCUCGUGGCCACCAUGGUCACAAGUGACAAUUACUCCAUAAUUGCUGCAUCAAAGUAAAGCACAAAUAGCGAGGAAAUAUAACAUAAGCAGACUGAGUGCACAGUGUUAUACACUAAAGACUAUAUUUGGUUCUCUGCCAUUAGCUUAAAGAAGUCAACUUUUAAAAGUCACACCAGAGUAAAUAUGACUGUAGUAGCAAAAAUAGCCCUCAGUGUGCUUAAUUUUCAUGGAUUCAGCUUGUUAUUUCUGAAUGUUUUCUCCUUAAAUGUUACAUAGUAGCUGUUGUAGUAAAUGUAAAAUAAAACUACAAUCUUAUGCCAUCUGAAAUGCUACACAGUAGCUAGUACACAAGGUAAAUUCCUGGGAAUAGAUGGCGAUCCAAUGGAGGCAACACAUUCAACUUUUUCCAAUGUUAUAAAUUCCUAUGCAAUCAGUUUGAUAAUACUUGCGAUAAUCAGUAUAUUACAUUUGCAUUGCAUGCAUUACAAUGUCAUCCGCAUUCACAUUAAAGGGAAAAUGAAGUUUACCCUUCAUUCCUUCCAUGUACAUCACCUAUUUAAGUUUGUGUGUUAGUGUUUGUCCCUUCUGAGGAGCAGCAACAAAACUAAAAUGAGAGAGACACUUAGCAUGAUUUCUAAUUUCUUGAUUUUUUUCUCCUUUCUUUCACCACCUCACAGCAGCCGGUGAAUACUUUUCUAGAAGACCUUCACCAUCUUUAAUGUCUUGUUUACACUCUGCAGUUCCAGGUUGCUUCAAUACGAUGCCAGUUAGCAGCCUAGGACUGCAACACAAUCCAAUUAAAUAAAGAGUGUUGUCUCUCCAGGUUCCUGUGUUCUCUAAUUGGGGCUGUGACUGCUCACUAAUCAGUGGAGGUACAGGUAGGCCCCGGAGGACGGCGAGACAGGGCCUCUCCUGUUAAUUGAAGAGAUGCUACACCCGGCCUCCUCCUUCUCCUCAUAGUCCAACAUGGAUGCACAGGAGUACUGACGCAUGCUAAAUUCGUCUACGCACCCACGUGCAUCAUCACUCCUCUCACCUUUUGUGUGGCCGGCAUGUAAGAGCUUGCUUUUCUUUUUUCAUUUUAACUCCUGAGCAAGCAGUGGUGUUAAGAGGUGACUGGCAGUCAUUUAAAGUGUGUUUGCUCUCUUGGUCACUUACGCCUAUGCAAUUCCCAGUACUUCCAUUUCUGCUUUAAUUAUAUCCAUAAAAAAUCUUUAAAAACAUUUUUUUAAACUGUGCAAUCAAAGUUGAACUUUCAUGGGUAAAAAAUGUUUUUAUUCUGACCCGAGAGGCUUUAGAUCACAGAUGUGGUGCUUUAAAUACUGAAUAAAUGAGUGCAAAAACGUCACAUCCGUGAUUUAAGUAAAUAAUUUUUAACCUAAAUUUGUAAGAGCAAGCUACACAAAAACAUGGCAAGCAUCGACUAGCGUGAGUCAUCCAACUCCAACUGUAACAGAAACAAUGAUUAACAUGCACACAUAUUUUUAAGCAGCUAAAAAUAGUUGUUUUUGUUUUUUUAAAAAAAACCUAACAGCUACUCGGAAAAUUGAAAAUAACCGUGCACGUAAGACAUUACGGGCCUGACUCAAAGC